Molecule: small nucleolar RNA, 104 nt
Organism: Manis pentadactyla (Chinese pangolin)
Lineage: Eukaryota; Metazoa; Chordata; Mammalia; Pholidota; Manidae
Product: small nucleolar RNA U13
Exons: 1
Source: RefSeq, a predicted model, not a curated record
AUCCUUUUGCAGCUCAUAAGCAUGAUGACUGGGUGUCCAUACUUGUGUGUGACAUGUGCCUCCUUCAAACCUUGUCACAAUGUUGGCACAUUACUCGUAUGACU